Molecule: ribosomal RNA, 253 nt
Filed under: uncultured bacterium
Lineage: Bacteria
Description: partial 16S ribosomal RNA
Rfam family: Bacterial small subunit ribosomal RNA
Source: RNAcentral
UACGAAGGGGGCUAGCGUUGCUCGGAAUCACUGGGCGUAAAGCGCACGUAGGCGGAUCUUUAAGUCAGGGGUGAAAUCCCAAGGCUCAACCUUGGAACUGCCUUUGAUACUGGGGAUCUCGAGUCCGGAAGAGGUUGGUGGAACUGCGAGUGUAGAGGUGAAAUUCGUAGAUAUUCGCAAGAACACCAGUGGCGAAGGCGGCGACCUGGGUCGAGACUGACGCUGAGGCGCGAAAGCGUGGGGAGCAAACAGG